Microcebus murinus (gray mouse lemur) is the source of this 524-nucleotide non-coding RNA. The record is from RefSeq and is a predicted model, not a curated record. Lineage: Eukaryota; Metazoa; Chordata; Mammalia; Primates; Cheirogaleidae.
AGAAGGAAACCCUGGCGACUUCUGCCCACCUGUGCUGUGGCCAAAGAGAACCCCGAAGGAGAAGCUGCAGGAGGCCAGCAGCAGGCUGCUCUCAGAGGAGAGAGGGAAAGGAGAGACGAAGGCUUGGGCCAGGGCCUGCCCCCUCCCCUAAAACCACAGCAUGAACGUGAGAAGAGCAGACGUUCUUGAAGACUCACUGUGUGCCUGCCCUGUUCUCAGCACCUUAUAUGCUUGAGUCAUUUAAUCUCCACAAUGGCACCAAGAGGUGUGUGCCACUGUACCUGGCCCAAGUAGAAUCUUGACCCGAUAGUAUCCGUGGUCAGGGGUAAGUGGGAUUGGAGGUGGCAGAAGGGACGUCAUCUCUAGCACAGGAUCAGCCCCAGCAGAGCUGACACAGGCACAAUUCAUCGUGGGCUGGCAGAGUCUCUCCUCCAUCCAGGGGUCUCCAACUCACAUGCCACCAACUCAGCAUGUGACCUCCAAGAAUCUCACUCUGCCGGCCUGGAUGGAGUGCAGUGGUGUCA